GCCUGGGUGGCUCAGUUGGUUGAGCUUCUGACUUCAGCUCAGGUCACGAUCUCUUGGUUCAUGAGUUCGAGCCCCACAUCAGGCU
Molecule: transfer RNA, 85 nt
Filed under: Felis catus (domestic cat)
Lineage: Eukaryota; Metazoa; Chordata; Mammalia; Carnivora; Felidae
Rfam family: tRNA
About the family: Transfer RNA (tRNA) molecules are approximately 80 nucleotides in length.
Source: Rfam by way of RNAcentral